CCCUUAGAUGUUCUGGGCCGCACGCGUGCUACACUGAGUAAUUCAAUGGGUAAGGGAACGCUAGAGCAUUACCUAAUCUUGAAAUUUGCUCGUGAUGGGGAUCGACGGUUGCAAUUUUCCGUCGUGAACGAGGAAUACCUUGUAGGCGCAUGUCAUCAUCAUGCGCCGAAUACGUCCCUGCCCUUUGUACACACCGCCCGUCGCUCCUACCGAUUGAGUGAUCCGGUGAGGCUCUGGGACCUGGACGGAAAGAGCGUUUCGCUUGUUCUGUUUGGGAAACUUGGUCGAACCUUAUCAUUUAGAGGAAGGAUAAGUCGUAACA
Molecule: ribosomal RNA, 322 nt
Filed under: uncultured eukaryote
Lineage: Eukaryota
Description: partial 18S ribosomal RNA
Rfam family: Eukaryotic small subunit ribosomal RNA
Source: RNAcentral